AUUGAACGCUGGCGGCAUGCCUUACACAUGCAAGUCGAACGGUAACAGGUUAAGCUGACGAGUGGCGAACGGGUGAGUAAUAUAUCGGAACGUGCCCAGUCGUGGGGGAUAACGUAGCGAAAGCUACGCUAAUACCGCGUACGAUCUACGGCUGAAAGCGGGGGAUCGCAAGACUUCGCGCGAUUGGAGCGGCGGAUAUCGGAUUAGGUUGUUGGUGAGGUAAAAGCUCACCAAGCCUGCGAUCUGUAGCUGGUCUGAGAGGACGACCAGCCACACUGGAACUAAGACACGGUCCAGACUCCUACGGGAGGCAGCAGUGGGGAAUUUUGGACAAUGGACGCAAGUCUGAUCCAGCAAUGCCGCGUGCAGGACGAAGGCCUUCGGGUUGUAAACUGCUUUUGUACGGAACGAAACGGUGAGCUCUAAUACAGUUUGCUAAUGACGGUACCGUAAGAAUAAGCACCGGCUAACUACGUGCCAGCCGCCGCCGUAA
RNAcentral lists this ribosomal RNA (493 nucleotides) under uncultured bacterium. Its description in RNAcentral is "partial 16S ribosomal RNA". It matches the Rfam family "Bacterial small subunit ribosomal RNA", at positions 30 to 523 of the family's 1533-position model. The record is from RNAcentral.